AGUGAACGCUGGCGGUAGGCCUAACACAUGCAAGUCGAACGGCAGCACAGUAAGAGCUUGCUCUUACGGGUGGCGAGUGGCGGACGGGUGAGGAAUACAUCGGCAUCUACUUUUUCGUGGGGGAUAACGUAGGGAAACUUACGCUAAUACCGCAUACGACCUACGGGUGAAAGCAGGGGAUCUUCGGACCUUGCGCGAUUGAAUGAGCCGAUGUCGGAUUAGCUAGUUGGCGGGGUAAAGGCCCACCAAGGCGACGAUCCGUAGCUGGUCUGAGAGGAUGGUCAGCCACACUGGAACUGAGACACGGUCCAGACUCCUACGGGAGGCAGCAGUGGGGAAUAUUGGACAAUGGGCGCAAGCCUGAUCCAGCCAUACCGCGUAGGUGAAGAAGGCCUUCGGGUUGUAAAGCCCUUUUGUUGGGAAAGAAAAGCAGCAGGUUAAUACCCCGCUGUUCUGACGGUACCCAAAGAAUAAGCACCGGCUAACUUCGUG
This 492-nucleotide ribosomal RNA is filed under the name uncultured bacterium. RNAcentral's name for it is "partial 16S ribosomal RNA". It matches the Rfam family "Bacterial small subunit ribosomal RNA", at positions 29 to 507 of the family's 1533-position model. The record is from RNAcentral.